GUGUGUUCCUUCUGCCAACAAACUGAAACUUCCCAGCACUUGUUCUUUGACUGUCCUGUUGCCAGAGUUGUUUGGCGAUCUAUUGGGGUGACACUUGGGACUAAUCUUUGCCCCAGAAACUGCUGGCAGUUCUUUGUGUGGUGCUACUCCUUCCUACCUGGAUAUGAGCCCUUCUAUAUUGUGGCUUUGGGCGUGGCUACUUGGUCUAUCUGGCUAGCAUGGAAUAGUGCUACCUUUGAGAAGAAGAUGAUUAAAUCCCCUUUCGAGAUUAUUUUUAUGGUGGUUUCCUUUGUUCUAUAUUGGGCAGGUCUUCAGGUUGGAGAUGACGUCAAGCAACUUCGAGCAGGGGCGGAGAUGAUUCGCAAUGGAACUCUGAUGCUGAUGAAGGCUUGUGAUGUGACAAGCAAGGUUGGAGACUGA
This 420-nucleotide ribosomal RNA is filed under the name Triticum aestivum (bread wheat). Its description in RNAcentral is "partial small subunit ribosomal RNA". The record is from RNAcentral. Lineage: Eukaryota; Viridiplantae; Streptophyta; Magnoliopsida; Poales; Poaceae.